Molecule: non-coding RNA, 2657 nt
Organism: Cicer arietinum (chickpea)
Lineage: Eukaryota; Viridiplantae; Streptophyta; Magnoliopsida; Fabales; Fabaceae
Source: RefSeq, a predicted model, not a curated record
CAAGUGAUAACGAGAGAUAAAAGGAAGAUUUUGUUUAUCGCAGCCACUGCAACCACAACAAACAAUGUUUUUGUUUUCAACUAGGUCAAGGUUUGUUUCUCUUUUCAUUCCCAAAAAGUUUCUUCCUUUUAAUUUCAUUCCUUCUUUUUGUUUCUCAGCUUCAACCCUAUUCCCUCAAUUCAAUAAUCCUCAUCUUGACAAUGCCAAUUCAUUGUUCAAUUCUUUGCUCCAUAACAAUCCUACCCCACCACCCAUUGAAUUUGGCAAGAUUUUAGGUUCCAUUGUGAAAGCUAAGCAUUACUCAAUCGCUAUUUCCCUUUCUCAACAAAUGGAACUAAGGGGAAUCAACCCUGACUUUGUAACUUGCAAUCUCUUAAUCAAUUGUUUAUGCCAAUUGGGUCAUAUAACUUUUGCUUUUUCUGUUUUCUCAAAGAUUCUCAAAAGGGGUUAUCACCCAAAUGCAAUAACUUUUACCACACUCAUCAAGGGUUUUUGUCUCAAAGGUGAGGUUCAUAAAGCAUUGCACUUUCAUGACAAGGUGGUAGCGCAAGGAUUUCGGUUGAAUCACGUUAGUUACGGGACUUUGAUCAACGGGUUAUGUAAAGUUGGAGAAACAAGAGCAGCUCUAGAGUUGCUGAGACGAGUUGAUGGGAAAUUGGUUCACCCAGAUGUGGUAAUGUACAACACGAUUAUUGAUAGUAUGUGCAAAGAUAAACUUGUUUCUGAUGCAUGUGAUUUAUAUUCUGAAAUGGUUGUCAAGAGAAUUUCUCCUGAUGUUGUCACUUACAAUGCACUAAUUAGUGGCUUUUGCAUAAUGGGUCAAUUAAAAGAAGCAAUUGCUUUGUUAAAAAAAAUGACAUUGGAAAACAUCAACCAGGAUGUGUAUACUUUUAAUAUAUUGCUUGAUGCUUUUUGUAAGGAAGGGAAGUUGAUAGAAGCUAAAAAUGUGUUUCUUGUGAUGAUGAAAAAUGACAUAAAGCCAAAUAUUGUUACUUACAACUGUUUAAUAGAUGGAUAUUGCCUCGUUAAUGAAGUGAACAGGGCUAAGAGAUUACUCAACAUUAUGGCCCAAAGGGGAGUGGCUCCUGACGUUAGGAGCUACAAUAUCAUGAUUAAUGGACUCUGUAAAAUUAAAAUGGUGGAUGAAGCCAUGAACCUCUUCAAAGAAAUGCAGUACAGAAAAGUUGUUCCUGAUGUUGUAACUUACAGUUCCCUCAUUGAUGGGUUGUGCAAAUCGGGGAGAAUUACAUAUGCUUUGGAGCUAUUUGGUGAGAUGCAUCAUACGGGCCAACCACCUGAUACAUAUACUUACAAUUCUAUAUUGGAUGCUUUAUGCAAAAGCAAUGAUGAUGAUAAGGCAGUUGCAUUAUUGAAAAAAUUUAAAGACUUGGGUAUUCAACCAAGUAUGUGCACGUAUAAUAUUCUUCUCAAUGGAUUGUGUAAAAGUGGACGAAUAAAGGAUUCCCAAAAGAUUUUUGAAGAUCUUUUGGUCAAAGGCUACAAUCUAGAUGUCUAUACAUAUACCAUUAUGAUACAAGGGUUUUGUAAGAAGGGCUUGUUGCACGAAGCGUUGGAUUUGUUUUCAAAAAUGAAAGACAAUGGCUGCAUUCCAGAUGCUUUAACUUAUGAAAUAGUUAUUCAUUCCCUCUUUGAAAAAUAUGAAAAUGAAAAAGCGGAGAAACUUCUUUGGGAAAUGAUUGUGAGAGGUCUUCUUUAAGACAGAAACUAGUUGCGCAUGAGAUGUGUCUAAGGGGUCUAAGGUGUAUUGAAGUGAAGAAAAACAAGUUAUAUUUUUGGGACACUUAUUUGAGGUGUCGUAUGAGUGUCAGAAUGAUGCAUGUCAGACACAACGAUUAAAUCUAACCUCAAAGAUGUUGCUAGUGGUUUGGAAGUUGCCACCAAGUGUCAAAUGAAAUGCUAAUAUAUUAUAUGUUGCGUCUGAAGUAGAGUGAGAGUGAAGCAUGUCAGCUAAAAACUCUGAUAACCCAUCUCAAAAAGUGAAGCCAAAGCUAAACGGAAUGUCUGUCCUUUAUUAAAAGACACAAAGUUCCUCACAUUCUCCAACAGGAAAUACCUCGGCCGGAAAUAAUCAGCAAAGGAUAAGAAUGCUAAUAUCAUCUCACACUGGACCUUACUCCAAGUGCUUGUGUUGAAUCUAUUCAUCCCAGAGAAACCCUGCAACAACAAAUUAUUCAAUCAUCACGGCAAAGUAUCAAUAUCAGAAAAAGUCAAACAAAGCCAAGAGUUACACAAACCUGGCAUGGAGGUCCUCCAUUAAUGAAAUCAACUUGGCCAGGCAACGGUAAAUUUCUUAAAUCCUUCUCAUCAAGUGAAGAGGCCAAUUCUGCAGCAUCAGUUGUUGAGAUGCAAUCAUCUAUGUCCCCACAUUUCUCCAUUAUAGCUCUGCAUUACAAUCAUUUAAGAGUCACUUAAAUGGGUUCCAAUCUAUUCAACCUUGUGGACUAGAAUCAGUGUUGUUAAAUAGCGACUAUAGCAAUGCAAUAGCGCUAUAGGAUAACAGAAUUUGAACAAAUCACUAGUGUUUUGCAAUACACUAUUUAGUACAACAUGUUGUCAAAUAGUGGCUUUAGAGGACUUUCCACAAUCUGUGAUUGACAACACUGACUGGAAUAUUUUCUCUGGGAUCAUUUACCUAA